This 593-nucleotide long non-coding RNA is filed under the name Carassius auratus (goldfish). RNAcentral's name for it is "lncRNA (ENSCARG00000013522.1)". The record is from RNAcentral. Lineage: Eukaryota; Metazoa; Chordata; Actinopteri; Cypriniformes; Cyprinidae.
UAUUUAAACUGAACAGAGAUGACAUAACUGAAUUCAAUGAUGAACUGCCUUUAACUAUCAUUUUGCAUUAUUGAGACACUGUUUUCCAAAUGAAUGUUGUUCAGUGCUUUGACGCAAUGUAUUUUGUUUAAAGCACUAUAUAAAUAAAGGUGAUUGAUUGAUAUUUAGCGUUGUAAACGCGCGUGUGAGUGGCGGAGACGCACCGUGGAACGUCAGAUACGCUGAGGACCAAACACAGCAGAAUGGUAGGAAACUUCACUCCUCUUAUUAUUUCUCUUUUCCUAUAGCGAUUUAUUUUUAGAUACGUGAUCUGAGUCUUUAAUAAAGUUGCAGAUUUAUUAGAGUAAUAGUUAUUUUUACAUUCUUUGGUAAAGUUUUCAGGUCGGGACCUUCGGAGCCUGUUCACGACUCGGUUGUUUCAGAUCGGCACUUCGGAGCCUGUUCGCGACUGGGUUGAUUCAGAUCGGCAAUUCGGAGCAUGUUCGCGACUCUAUCGGCACUUCGGAGCCUGUUCGCGACUUGGUUGAUUCAGAUCGGCACUUUGGAGCAUGUUCGCGACUCGGUUGAUUCAGAUCUGGACUUCGGAGCGUUUU